RNAcentral lists this unclassified non-coding RNA (378 nucleotides) under plant metagenome. RNAcentral's name for it is "partial contains 5.8S ribosomal RNA, internal transcribed spacer 2, and large subunit ribosomal RNA". The stretch from base 1 to 105 matches the Rfam family "5.8S ribosomal RNA", at positions 50 to 154 of the family's 154-position model. The record is from RNAcentral.
GAAAUGCGAUAAGUAAUGUGAAUUGCAGAAUUCAGUGAGUCAUCGAAUCUUUGAACGCAGCUUGCGCUCCUUGGUAUUCCUUGGAGCAUGCCUGUUUGAGUAUCAUGAAAUCUUCAAAGUAAAUCUUUUGUUAACUCAAUUGGUUUCUACUUUGGUAUUGGAGGUCUUUGCAGCUUCACACCUGCUCCUCUUUGUUCAUUAGCUGGAUCUCAGUGUUAUGCUUGGUUCCACUCGGCGUGAUAAGUUAUCUAUCGCUGAGGACACUGUAAAAGGUGGCCAAGGUAAAUGCAGAUGAACCGCUUCUAAUAGUCCAUUGACUUGGACAAUACUUUUAUGAUCUGAUCUCAAAUCAGGUAGGACUACCCGCUGAACUUAAGC